This 85-nucleotide transfer RNA is filed under the name Pseudomonadota bacterium. Its description in RNAcentral is "tRNA-Leu". It matches the Rfam family "tRNA". Rfam says of the family: Transfer RNA (tRNA) molecules are approximately 80 nucleotides in length. Their secondary structure includes four short double-helical elements and three loops (D, anti-codon, and T loops). RNAcentral also lists the same sequence under 1 other name. Lineage: Bacteria; Pseudomonadati; Pseudomonadota. The record is from RNAcentral.
GGGGAUAUGGUGGAAUUGGUAGACACGCUGUCUUGAGGGGGCAGUGGCUAACGCCGUGAGAGUUCGAGUCUCUCUAUCCCCACCA